GAUGAACGCUAGCUACAGGCUUAACACAUGCAAGUCGAGGGGUAACGAGAGGAAAGCUUGCUUUCCUUGUCGACGACCGGCGCACGGGUGAGUAACGCGUAUCCAACCUGCCCCCAACUAGGGAAUAACCUUGCGAAAGUAAGACUAAUACCCUAAAUUUCCUCAGAUGCCAUCUGACGAGGAAUAAAGAUUUAUCGGUUGUGGAUGGGGAUGCGUCUGAUUAGCUUGUUGACGGGGUAACGGCCCACCAAGGCAACGAUCAGUAGGGGUUCUGAGAGGAAGGUCCCCCACAUUGGAACUGAGACACGGUCCAAACUCCUACGGGAGGCAGCAGUUAGGAAUAUUGGUCAAUGGGCGGAAGCCUGAACCAGCCAAGUAGCGUGCAGGAUGACGGCCCUAUGGGUUGUAAACUGCUUUUAUACAGGAAUAAAGUUAGCCACGUGUGGUUAUUUGUAGGUACUGUAUGAAUAAGGACCGGCUAAUUCCGUGCCAGCAGCCGCCGUAA
RNAcentral lists this ribosomal RNA (505 nucleotides) under uncultured bacterium. Its description in RNAcentral is "partial 16S ribosomal RNA". It matches the Rfam family "Bacterial small subunit ribosomal RNA", at positions 28 to 523 of the family's 1533-position model. The record is from RNAcentral.